RNAcentral lists this ribosomal RNA (497 nucleotides) under uncultured bacterium. Its description in RNAcentral is "partial 16S ribosomal RNA". It matches the Rfam family "Bacterial small subunit ribosomal RNA", at positions 28 to 507 of the family's 1533-position model. The record is from RNAcentral.
GAUGAACGCUGGCGGCGUGCCUAAUACAUGCAAGUCGAGCGAACAGACGAGGAGCUUGCUUCUCUAAUGUUAGCGGCGGACGGGUGAGUAACACGUGGAUAACCUACCUAUAAGACUGGGAUAACUUCGGGAAACCGGAGCUAAUACCGGAUAAUAUUUUGAACCGCAUGGUUCAAUAGUGAAAGACGGUCUUGCUGUCACUUAUAGAUGGAUCCGCGCUGCAUUAGCUAGUUGGUAAGGUAACGGCUUACCAAGGCAACGAUGCGUAGCCGACCUGAGAGGGUGAUCGGCCACACUGGAACUGAGACACGGUCCAGACUCCUACGGGAGGCAGCAGUAGGGAAUCUUCCGCAAUGGGCGAAAGCCUGACGGAGCAACGCCGCGUGAGUGAUGAAGGUCUUCGGAUCGUAAAACUCUGUUAUUAGGGAAGAACAAAUGUGUAAGUAACUGUGCACAUCUUGACGGUACCUAAUCAGAAAGCCACGGCUAACUACGUG